UUUCCUAGCAGCUCUAUACUACUUGUUGUAGUAUUGUAUGAUUUACAGAUACAGCUACGCUUCGUAUACAGGAAAAAAAAUUUUGUGUACGGCGGAUUUGUCGGCGUGCCCGGGGAACGUGUAAUCCGGGGCGUGACAUAUAAACGACGGGUAAGCGACGGUGGGUUCCGAUGUCGAAUUGGACACUUUCGGGAACCCGGAUCGGAACGAUUAUCCGAUAAUAAUUAUUUCGAAGUGAGACAAUAUUUUUGCUACCAAGUCACACGAAAAUAUGUGUUUAGUGGCAGCGGAUGACUUGUAGCUGGAGUCGGUGAGUUCCGGUACAGUACGUGGGUCCCAGCGGAGUCUCGAUGCAAUUUUCGGGACUUCCGACGUGUUUGGCAAUCGAUUUUGGGAAACAGAUUCUCGUAGGGUUAGUGGUGGGGUUUGUGAGUUAGUGAUUCGUGUUGUGGGUUGGACGCUAACCCGGUGGACCCUUCGUAGGUCCGGUUGUGACUUCCUCCGCAGUUGGAAGGCCAGUACCACAUUUGUACAGGUGGAUACUUCGAUCCGAAGUCGGUACAGUGGUGCACGCUCGAUGACAUCUUCUUACCCUUGUUCUCUAGUUGUUAUCUUGCAUAUAUAUGUCUAUAUAUUGUGUUGAGUCUAGCACCCAUGUUGUUCUCGUUAUACUCUACUCGGUUGUUUUUUUAUGUCUAGUAUCAUGAAUAGAAGUAAAGCAGAUUUAUGAUUUCAUAUGAGAUUGGUGACCUAGUUGGUCGGUUCUAGUAUUCCAUAUCUGUGACCUUUUUGGUCGGUUCAUUGUAUAUGGUAUUGUGACCUACUUGGUCGAUUGGACUACUUGGUGACCUAUACAAUCGGUAUGCCCAGAGAGGUAGGAUUGUCGGCUAGUUGUCGAUGGUUGGCUAUUGAGCAUUCAGCAUCGAUCGUUACUAGUACGCAUUUCACGAACAUCAGCGGUCUGAUCCAUCGCAAGAGGGUGUUCUUUUCGAAAAAAGUGAUUAGAUGUGCCAGCCCAUGAGCCCAGCAGUCAGAACUAGGUUAUAUGCAGCCUGUGAGCCCAGCGGUCAAACUGGGUUAUAUACAGGUAGAGUGGCAGUGGCAUAGGCCUGAGGUUUUGCAGACCAAUAUGGUUGUUUCUGAUUAGGUAUUUUUGGACUUGUUGUCCGGCUGAUGCAUACAUACAGUAGCAAUAGUUGUUCAUUUAUACAUCCUGUUCAUUUAUUAUCGCUGCUACUGUAUUACACUUAUCCAUACCUUUGUUUAGCCUCCUUGACUGGUGAGUACCCCUCGCCCUCGUCGACUUGUGGUACCUACUAGGAGGGAAGAUAUGUUUACAUAUUCUCACCCCCCACCCCCAUUACAGGUGAUGUCGUGGGACGAUUCGUGAGGAGCGCGUCUAGCGAUCGAUAAAUCCACCGUCCCGUUGUUUGGUUAAUUCUCAAACUCAGAUUCUUUAAAUAAAUGACUUAGACAGUUAAUUGGUUCAGUGACUUAUUACUUUUGAAUUCAUACGGUUUUAUGAAUGUAAUAAAGGAUUUGUGGAUUUUUGUGAAAUAGAAAUUGUUUUCUAUCCCUCGUGGUAGCGAGUUUUAAAAGGAAAAGAUUUCCAUAUGGAAAACAGUUUUUAAAAGGUUUUCUUAGUUUUCAUGAUUUAGUGUUUUAAAACGAAUUUCGGAUAGGAAACAUUUUAAACCAAUAGUUGUGGAUUUAUGAAUAACUCUGAUUAUGAAUAUGAUUGUGAAUGGUGUUUGAUUAUGUGUAUGUGUAUAUGUGUGGUUGUAUUCUUUAUGGUAAAUCUUGUAUCUUCUACUUGUGCGACGCCGUGCAAAUAAGGGGGGACUCUGUUCAUNUAUAGGAUGUGUUAUGUUGUUUGAUACCUUCCAUUAUGCAAUCUUGAUUGAAAUGUGUUCCUGGUUGGAACUUCGCACAUUGUAUUGAUUGCUAUGCCUUGAACGUACAGGGGAGACUCUGUCCGCGGUACAGGGGAAACCCUGUCCGUUCGGCGAUCUGUCGGCGGCGCCGCGACCCGGCCAAAUAGGCGGGCGGUCGCGGGGUGUGACAACGGGUUUGUGUACCGGUACACAACCCACGAAAUGGCCAAACCCGAGCCUCGGGUUUGCCUCAAAAUCAUCUGUGUACCGGUACGCGGUCCCGUACCGUUACAGCCAUCAACCACGUACCGGUACAGCCACCAAGCCCAUACCGGUACACAGCCUGCUGAAGGCUACCCGAGAGCUGACCAAAAAUCCAACUUUUUGGAUUUUGGUACACCGCUUUAAACCACAAUUCUCGGGACUCGAACUAUAGGUCGGAACACUGUCAACGACCCACCAGAAAGUCUGAAAAAGCUCGGAACACAAUUAAUCACUCGAACCCCACAAUUUGCGAGGUCCAGUGCGUCACAACCCCGGUGCUUGCCUUGCCGACUCCGGAGGAGACUUUUGUAGUGUACAGUGAUGCCUCUUAUGUUGGUCUCGGGUGUGUACUAAUGCAAAAUUGGCGGGUCAUUGCUUAUGCAUCGCGCCAAUUAAAGAGUUAUGAGAAGAACUACCCGAUUCACGACCUCGAGUUAGCCGCGGUGAUCUUCGCGCUAAAGCUAUGGAGGCAUUACUUGUAUGGUCAGCAUUGCGAGGUCUACACAGAUCAUACAAGUCUAAAGUACUUGUUCACCCAGAAGGAAUUGAACAUGCGGCAGCGGCGGUGCUUGGAGUUGUUGAAGGACUAUGAUGUCACCAUAUAAUACCACCCCGGAAAAGCCAAUGUCGUGGCUGUUAGUUAUAUGCCCUAUAAGCCAAUCUUGUCAUAACUUAAAAGGUUAAUAUCAGUGUACUUUUCUUUUAUAAUUAAACCUAGCAUUCUUCAUUCAUAUUAUUGCCCAAUGCAUAUUUAUGAAUCGUCCAUAGAAGUAAUAGUAGAAGAAUUAACUUUCUAAGAAGUUAGAAAUUUGAGACAUAUAUUCUUCUGUAAUUAAUUCUUAAAUGCUCCUGAUCAUAGGAUUAUUACGAGGGCGGUGGUAAAUCCGGAUAGAUCAGUGUAUGCUGUACUUCCUUUAUGGGAUGACAAGUCUCAAGUCAUUAGUGUGGUGACACUAGAGUAAGCAUACAGGUGAAUGUUGGAGAACAAUUUCACUGAGCGUGACCAACUACGAACAAUCACAUGGAUGUCUACUCACUCGUCAGUGAAUUGUUCCAUACUGUAGUAAUGUGAGUGAUCCUUUGACUUGAGGCACCACGAUUAUCUUGCGUGUGGGUUAUUGUAGUUUGACUGUGUAAAUACUUAUACCCUAAUCAUGGGUUAAGUCAACACAUGUUGGCUGCAGUGGGUCAUACGUGGAGGUAGGUGUGUGUCAAGAUAGAAUCUAUCACCCUCGGUAGAGAGGUAAUUGUCUAAUACUAUCUGUUUUACAAGAUAUAAAAGUCCUUGGCCAAGGCAGUAUGAUUUUAUGGAAAAGAGUUUCCAUAUUAAUUGUUAAUCAAAUAAUACAUAUGAUUGAGUAAUGGGGUUUGACGAGUAAUCCAUAACCUCGGCUCAAUCGGGACUAGUGAUAGAAGGAUUUUAUCACAUGGUAACUACACCUAGAGGUUCCGUCUAUUAUUAAUUCUACUUGGAUUGCCGCGAUAUAUUGCUAGGUGUCACUCGUGGAUCGUGGGACCCAUGAGAGUAAUUAAGAUAGUUAAUUACACUCAUUUGGGAGAGCCAAAAAUGUUUUGGUCCAUCGAGAAGAGUUCCGAUGGUGACACUAAAAGAGUUUAGUGUCACAUUUCACUACCAGAUAGAAUUGAACCUAUGUGGUCACACACAAUAAAGGCUGCGUGUGAACUAGUGCUUGGAGAAUUAAUAGAGAUCAUUUUGCUAAAGUAGCAAAGAAAGGAUUUACUUGCUAAGUUGGUUAGCAAGAAGGACCAAUAUGUAAAGUUAUAGAGUUAAUGCAAUUGUUGCAUACGGUGCACUUGCGCUGAAGUUGCUAAAAGGAGUUUGCCAUCUUUCUCUCAUCAACUCCUCAAUUAAUAAAGAUUAAUUAAGGAAGUUACAAAGUGAAAUUAAACAAGGAAGGGAGAAGACAAAGUGAACUCAGACGUUCACUUACCUUAUUAAUGAUAUAGUUAAUUAGGAGAAAAUGAAAACCUCCUCUUCUCUCUUCCUCGACUCGUUUCUCAUCACUCCACCUAUUAAAUGAGAGUAAUUGACUCCCUAUCAUUUAUGGUGGUAGUUUCUUCUCUCCUCUUUGCCAACAAUGAGAGGAGUUUUGAUUCCCUCUCAUUCAAGGCGUUUAAGCCUAUAAAAGGGGGUGUAAUCCUCCUCAAUGAGUGUGUGUGAUUUGUAAUAAAGUACGAGAGAAAGAGAGAGUUUUUAUCGUAUAUAGAAUUCUCUUUUAAUCAUAAGAGAGAGGUCCUCUUAUAUUAAUUGGUCUCUAUUAUUAAUCCUCUUCAAAUUGCUAGCAUAAUUUUGAGGUUUAAUUUUUCUCCACAUUGACACAAGAGAUCACGAAAGGAGUUUCGAGAUUACACUGUGAUUGUGUGAAGCACAGAUCCCGGAGCAGCCUUGUCUGGAUACACGUAGAGGCUGAACACUUGUGCGGCUCAAAGGACCAGAAGUUCAGAUCCAAAUCAAAUGUGAAAUAAUUUCGGUAAUUUGCACAGGUUGAAAUUCGAACCCUUCUUCUAAUUAGAUUAGAACAAUAAUUUUUGUGUGUCACACGAGAUGAUCUUGGUACAUAUAUAUACUAAUAUCAUAAAUGUUAUGAUAUUAAAGUAUACAUGAUUGGAUCAUAUUUUAUAAAUAAAAUUUAUUUCCGCUGCAUUAAAUGCACAUGCAGAUGCAUACAUUUCCUUACAGUGGCCGAUGCUCUAAGUAGAAAAUCGGCGGAGAAUUUAGCGAUAGCAAUUACGCCUCAACCGCUAUUACAAAAAGAAAUGCAAAGACUUGGGUUGGAAGUGGUAGCGCCGGGAGUGCCGGCUACACUUGUCGCAUUAGUUGUGCAACCGACCCUAUUGGAAAGGAUCAAGGAACUACAGGCUUCGGAUCCUUAUCUUCAAAAGAUACAAGGUGAAGUUGAGAAUGGCAGUGCCGAAGAUUUUGGCAUUGGAGCUGACGACGCACUUCGAUUUCGAAAUCGAUGGUGUGUGCCUAAAGAUGAUGAUGUUCGAAGGGCGAUUAUGCAAGAAGCCACCGGAACUGCCGCUAUGCCCUCACCCUCAGCCGCCUCAUGCACGCGCGCCGAGGGGGCAGGCGGAUCACGACCUUCAGUCGCCGUCGCCGCCGCCUGACGCUCCAUAAGCUCUUGGAGCCGCUCGAACCGACUCUCUUGGCGCUGCACCACGCUAGCUAGCGCAGUCAUCUGCGCCCGCAACUCUUGUACUUCGCUAGAUCCAGCUUGCCCGGGCACCUCAGGAGGCGGUGCCGGAACGGAUCUACGCGUGUAGUGCCUUGGGGACAUUAGCUUCUGAAACAGAACCAACUUUGUUAAUCACCUUAACCCGUUAAACCUCAUUGCACUUACGAAAGCUUACGAAAUAACACGACUCGGCAUCGCAAUUAGGCGGAAGCACACAAGUGUACUUAUUCUAGACUCUUAGUGUCAUGUUGUCGGCCGCCAACACAACCACUGCGAGUCGAGGACUCAUACCACUUGAAUCUGUUUCCAGUCAUUACUAGAAACAUAUUUCAAUCCUGACCCAAUCGAUCAACUCCCGCCACGGUCAUAGGUUCACGUCUCACUCACGUACCUAUAGUUGUUGAUCAAUUCCAUGAUGAGUACUGUUUUACCUACUCCAGCUGUCACGCCCCGAGACCGCUCCCAAUUUGGACCGGGUCGCGGCGCCGCCGACAGACCGCCGAACGGACCGGGAAUUCCCCUGUACGCGGACAGAGUCUCCCCAGUACGUCCAAGGCGUCGCAAUCCAAACAAUCAACGAAUGUUCCAACAAGGAACAGAUAUCAAUCCAGAUUGCAUAAGGAAGUAUCAAAUACAUAAUCUACUUGCUAUUACAAGAAUUCAUUUCACAAUCACGUUAUACAUCACAGUUUCAGUUUACAUUUUUACUUCCAAAUUACAAUCUUACUAUUACACCAGAGUUUGAUACAUUUUCUUUUCUUGUCUUCUAGACCCCUAAGCUAGACUGUCUCAAGGUACUGCUACCUCGUCUCUGUGGCUGGGCGCCGCUACUCUACGCAGACUACCGCCCUCAGUGACCUCGCCCCCGCGCCGCACCACGGAUACGACGUGAAAACCAAAACAAACGUGGGUGUGAAACGCAAGCUCAUGUUCCCAGUGGUAGGCCACCUCAAGGGAAAAGCUCGACGAAUACGCAGUCCUCAGAGGAGGACAUGCAACAUGUCUAAGUCUCAAACAAUAUACAACAGAUAUAUAUAGAUUCAAUUGAAAUACAUGCCAUGCCUCACGAAAUCGCGAUAUGAAAACUCAUUGCAGCAGACUAUGUAGAUCAUUUGAAUUCUCAACUUAUUACCAUUGGCUAACUUUACUCAUAACUUUACUCUAAAGGUUACUAUACACUUUAGGAUCACAUACACUAACCACUGCUAUAAGGUUUCUAUCACCUUAACUCAAGCCCCUCUAUGCUCAUAGCCUCAUAUAGGAGUCUCUACCCAAUCAUAGCUAAACCCGCGACUCCACGGGCUCAUCGAGUCCAAUCAUCCGCGGAUAGUCCCGCACCUUGGCUGCCUCAACGAAGCCUAACCGCACUCUCUCUGAUCAGUCCUCCUAGCGCCGAAAUCGUCGCACACGGCUGAACACGGCUCGAGCACACGACUAACCAUCGGUUGGCGAUCGCGUUGCAUUAUCCAGCGGAGCUCGAGACAUGAGCACUAUCGCGUCUGGCGUGAGAACGGGUCGCACUACACACAACAACGAUCAUGCUCAAACUCAGUCACCUGGAGGCACCCGCAUCGUACUUACCCCCAGCAUGGCAUUCCGUCUAACUCUGGCGCGUCUGAUCCUCAAAUUGGCUUAACCAUCCGGUCGGCGAAAUCGACGGCACAUAACGCCUCACUGGACAAUCGGUUUCAAGCCCGCGCGGGAUCUUCAUGUGAUCGCGCCCCAAUCUACUCUGGUACAUAGCUCGGCGGCGAGUCGUCGAGCACGAACCGCACUCCUAGGCCCGUACCAGGAACAUAGCAAAGUCGCUGGAUGUCCGGAACCACUUACCACAGGUCGACGGCGUUUCUAGCCCAACCCAUAUACUGUUCGAUCCUAGCUCAAUCUAGUGCUAUAACCACUUAUACCUAUCAACCUAGGUUCCAACCACUUCUAGGUCUAUGUCCACAUCACUUAACCUAGAUACACUUCUAGGCUCUCUCUAUCAUCUUUGCCGUAGAUUUAUCCAUUCUAGGUUUACUAGUUAACACUAGGUUUACUAAACUAGUAGUUAGACUGCCACAAACCUAGAUUUGUUUAAUCAACUCUAGUUUUACUAACCAAAACCUAUGUUCUUUUAAACUGCUUAUGAUGCCACUUCGAUCUAGCCUGACAACUUAGUUGUCAGUCAUCUUACUCAUCUACGACGUUAUCGUUGUUUAUAUACAUAUACCAUGCAUCUAUGCUCUUUUCUACUUAGCAAUUACUCUUUGAUCACUACUAACAUGCAUCCCUUUUCUUAGCAUCCUAUCAUCGCAUUAUUAUUACAUAUGCAUUAUACAUUCAUAUCAUGCAUUAACUUAGCAUUUACCAUUAUUAUCUAUGCAUGUAUUAGCAUUAGUGUAACUUGUGCUCACAUGCAUUUCUACUAAGAUUUGUAUCUAUGCAUUAGUCAUAUAUCAUGAUUACUUUACAUUAGCCUAGCAUUAAUCUAAUGCACAUUAAUUCUUUAUGCCACUAUGCAUUUUAUUGAAUAUGGAUUUGCUCUCUAUAUAGCAUUACCAUUAUCAUGCUUCUACUUGCAUCUACUUUAUGCAUCUUUAUUGACAUGACCUCUCAUCUUGUUACAUGCACAUGCUCAACAUGAGAUGUACAUAUGUAACAUAAAGGUGACCUAUGUCGCUUCGGGUAACGCACAAACCCACUUUUAACUCGCCGUUCCGAUGCUCGUCGACACUUGCAAUCGCUCCCGGGCACUCGGCACCCGGCCACGGUCCCGAUAUCCCUGCACCGUGCCUGUCCGACUCAUCCCCACCUCUCUCUCAUCCUGCCCUUCGCGCUGUCCAUACCAUCCGCGACAUCUAUAGGGUUCCUUCUUUCACAGUUAACUAGUUAUGCUCUCCACGCGUCCUCGUGCGCGCACCUCGCGGCUCACACUCUCCAAUACAUGUUUAUACUUCUUCACUCCGCCUUGUGAUCGCACCUCAACAUGCUCGAUCUCAUGAUAUUCAUACCGCAAAACAUCGCCAUCGGCCUUGCUUGCUACGCCCACCGAUCCAGAUUUGCCAAUUUCUGCAAUUAUACUCUUCUUCACUACUCUCCGAUCGCGUCAGUUACCCUCUCUUCUACACCAGGCGCUGCACGUCCCGCACCUCAACGCUCCGGCCUUACCCCUCGUCGCCCGAGGUUUGCGCCUCUCAUUCCCGCAACACUUUCAGUAUCCUGACCCGCUCUUACCUCGCGCACGAGUUUCAACUUUUCUCCCUGCUACUCUAAUCCCCCUACUAUCAUAUAUCCGCUGUCUAAGUCGCCAUGAGACGCUCAAAUGAAUCAGCAAUCCCUCCCUAUAUGUUUUAUUCCAGACAACCCCAUUCGGAAGCUCCCUAACGUACAAUUAACCUCCAAGUAAUCAAAUUAAUGGAUCAACCAUAGCCAACAAUAGCUAAUUAGAGCGCUAAUAGCUGAAAAAUAACACUCCUCAUGCCUCACACGGACUUUUCAGCCAACAUCCAAUUAUCCAAGUUCGAGUUUUUAUUCUAGUUUAAUUUAGCCUCUAUAUCCGACUAUAAGACGCCAGAUGGUGCCGACGCCACACUCUAGCCACGUAAUCAAUCCCCUCGCAGUACACCUUCGCCCCAUUGUUCCCCUCACAGCUCGUCACGAUUCGCAUUUAACCCUUCACGCCUUCGCCCUCUGUUACGCUCUUUGACGCGCCGACUCCCCUUAUUCAGCACGCUUGUCUCAUCCUUAUUUUCUUCCGCCACUCGCCACACUGAACGCUCGUCGCUGUUCGCUUCCUACACCCUUCGCUUGACUCCUUUAAUGUUCCGCUCAUAUCAGCGCGUCUGCUUUACAUGCCGUCAACAAUACGCCCGCCCGCAUUCUUCGGCCAGGCUCCUGACCGGAGCCCCGCACACACCAGCCUAACUCACUGUGUGAAGAUCAUACUGAGGCGCGCUCACUUUAGAAGAGAAUAAUGAGAGGUUUCCUCUCUCAUCCUCCAUGUGCGCUUUGCUUUGUCUUUGUCGGCUGCGCUUGCGCUUGAGGAGGAAGAAGCCUAGUAGCUUCUACUUAUAGUCAACACCUCAAUAGUAGCAUACACUAUUCACAUCAGGCAGCUCCAAAUCUGAUAUCUUUCGCCGGAGCCCUCUGAAUAUCCGUUUGAGCUCAAAUUUGACAGUCAUGUUCGGUUUAAUGUACUGAACAAGAAUAUAUUUUAAGUUUUCAGUUUUGACUCCGUUUGGUCACUGAAAACUGUGCCGAACUGCAAUCUUUAUCAGAUGGCUUUCGGAUGCUAUUUCUCUCUCUACGGGCGUCAGAAAAAUAUGAAACUUCAAAUCUAGCCUCAUUAAAAUAUUUCUGACAUCCCCGCCAAUUUUCAUAAUUUUCUGAGACUGUGCAUUUUCUGCUAAUUAUCUGUCCCAUUUCCAACAGAAAAUUCUAAAUCUUCUGUUUUCAUCCCGAUUUCAAUACAAGUCACUUCUGACUUAUGUUUUACUUCUCUAAAUCCAAUAAAAAUAGUAUCUCAUACUAUUUUUAUUUAUUUUCACUUUUAUAUUUAAAAUCCGGUAUGUUACAUUCCACCGCAGCCUCACCGGAACCAUUUAAAUGUACACCGUAACUUCAUAGUUUUAGAAGUCCGGUACCUUACACCAGCUCCCCCAAAUAGUUCGAUUUUUCCUCCACGGCGACUUAAGGUUUCCAUCCUAGGGCCUCCUAGGUCGAUCCUAGACUUCUCUCUUUACUUGCUCUUACUUGCUCUGAUACCAUAAACACCUGUCACGCCCCGAGACCGCUACCCAUUUGGUCCGGUUCGGGCGCGUCGUACAGACGCCGAACGGACAGCACCUCCCUUGUCCGCCCAAGGCUCAAGCACGGGAUCAUGUACAAGAAUUCGCCCAGAAACAAUUCAAUACAUACAUGAUCCAUACAAUAACAAUAGAGGCACCACAAGUGCAUAACAACAAGAGCAAGUAACACAAGUAUACAUACAAGUGCAAAAAGAGAGAGUUCUAUCUAUUACAUCACAAUCAUCCAUAGUUUACAAUUGAUUUACAUUUUCGUUCAUCCAAAAUGUAGAUACAAGCUCAUUCACAUCUCUCCAAAAUGCAUCUCACAACCUAUACAUCAUCUACUCUCAUAUAUGUAGGCACCUCUAAUGCAAUAGGAGAGCCACUAAUGCAAGGGCGCUAAGCCCUUACGGCGACCCUCGCCCAGAGCACUCGUACUCGGCCCUACAACAAAGUGGGGUGAGAAUUAUCAUCCAUAGUUCUCAGUGGGUUCGGCCGCCAACUCCGCCGAUCUCCCCACUAGGUCCAAGUGGGCACAAGCAGAUAGAUAGAUAGAUAUAUGAAAACAGUAAUGACAUAGUAAGAAAGCUAUGCUGCUAUGCCCAAAUCAUAUCCAAUGUAUGCAUGCACAAUGUGAUAAGUAAAGUAAUCAACUAACAUGCCACUAUGCCUAAAAAGAAAUGUUGUAUACUUGUUCAUCAAUUCUUUUGGCUUAUCCAAUCCUUGGCCAACCCGGAGGUUUGCCCACGACUCACAUGCAUCUCGUGGUAAGGAAACCCAACUCGCUCCCAAAUCUGAGACCGUCUGCGGGACCCCAUAAGGCUAUCCUAGGGACUCCAUAAGGCUAUCCCUCAUGUGACAAAACUCCGGAGCGCACACUUAUGAGAAGCGACCAACACAAGUUCUGAACAGACAGCGAGUAUGAUCCAAUCCUCUCAACUCGAGAAUACCCUAUCCACUAAGGCUAACAGUCACUCGGGAAUCCACCUAUCCCAGUGUCCAUAUGCAAGUGUUUAACUACACUAAGUUCUUGUUCAAUGACUCAUCACUAGGGAAUCCGCCUAUCCUUAAGUUCACAUAUCAAGUGCUACUUUACACUAAGUUUUUUGCCACUCGUUCUAUUGUCAUUGUUAUUUACAUGCCACUCGUUAUGUCUUUAUCAACCAUCGAGUCCAUCUCUUAACUCAGCACUGUAGGAUUCAAUGUCUCGACACAAUCCUUAUCUAUCCACUAUAUCAAGCAUUCAACUCACACUAUGAUAUCAUCUAGGACAGCAUAAGGAAAUGGAAAUGCACAUUUAUCCUACAAUGCGUAUAUGCAAGAGAUGCAAGAUUUAAAAUAACACUAAGACAUAAAGAGAAGCCCAGUUGCUUCGGGAUGACACCACCUACCUUCUGGCAUUGUCACAACUCUAAGAAUGAAGUUCGCCGAUUUUACAACGUCGUCUCGGCCUCCUAGGCGGAAACGAAGCUCGGAAGGUCCUUUUUGCCAGUAACUUUGCACCCACUUGACGAAUCGUCGAACCGUCUUCGCCUACGCGUUUAAACAUCUAGAAAUUAGGUUUACACUUGAUCAAUUUAGAUCAAAACCCAACAAAUCACAACACCCCAUUUUGGAGCCCUAACUUGCAAUCAUGCAAGAAUCCGUCUCUAAAUCCUCAAACUCAUGCAUUAAACACUUAUUAAGCAUGCUAGAGUUCCAACUAAACCGAUUCUAGAGUAUAAAAUCCAAACCCUAAAAGUCUACCAUCAUUGAGCUUAAAGCUUACCUCCAAAAGCUAGCUCCAAGGGUGAAGAGGAAGAAGAAGACGAUGAAGAUCCUUCUCCUUGCUUCCUUCUCCACCAAAACCCUUUUUUUCUUCACCUUCUAGAGAGAGAGGAAGAGAGUUUAGAGAGAGAGAGAGAGAGUUAGGGUUGAGCUUGGGGAAGAAAAUGAGAAGAGAGAGAGAGCUCACACUCAUAUAGCCCCAACUCAUGCUACAAUUGUAUAAAAAUCCCUCAACUUUGCCAAUAUGACACAACCCAACUUGGGCAGAUUCGGGCUACGGGGAUCGGUCUUUCCAAGAGGGAUCGGUCCCCGAGAGUGGUCAAUUUACAGAAAAGGAGUCUUUUCCCCUUUUCCACCCUUACGAGAAUCGGUCUCUCUAACGAGGGACCGGUCCCCGAGAGCACACUCUCGCAGGGCAACCUCAUUCCGAUUUUGCAUACCUACGGGGACCGGUCUCUCCCGCCAGGGACCGGUCCCCGAGAGCAAGUUUUAUGCGCAGAGUCCUCUGCCACAUUUCCAAGCUACGGGGACCGAUCUCUCCCACCAGGGACCGGUCCCCGAGAGCAAAAAUCCAGCACUUUGCAGAAUUUUCACAACUCGCUCUCGGAGGCCAUCUCCAAUGCACUUUUGGCCCUUUUGAUGCCUUCGGACUUUCCGAAGCACACCAAGUCGACAAACAGUCGAUUCUAACUAAAGUUCAACUCUCGUAUUUCUAGAAUUCACUUCCUUACAACAUGGACAUGAACCCCCUCAAUAGGAGGGUGGGAAGGAAGGAAAUAAUAGGUAGGGAGAUUCGGCUCCUAUUGUAACAUACCGGAUUUUGAUAUAAAAGUAAAAAUAAAUAAAAAUAGUGUGAGAUGCUAUUUUUAUUGGAUUUAGAGAAGUAAAAAAUAAGUCAGAAGUGACUUGUGCUGAAAUCGGAACGAAAAUAGAAGAUUUAGAAUUUUCUGUGAGAAANGGUGGGAAGGAAGGAAAUAAUAGGUAGGGAGAUUCGGCUCCUAUUGUAACAUACCGGAUUUUGAUAUAAAAGUAAAAAUAAAUAAAAAUAGUGUGAGAUGCUAUUUUUAUUGGAUUUAGAGAAGUAAAAAAUAAGUCAGAAGUGACUUGUGCUGAAAUCGGAACGAAAAUAGAAGAUUUAGAAUUUUCUGUGAGAAAUGGGGCUGAAAAAUUAGCAGAAAAUACACAGUGUCAGAAAAUUAUGAAACUGAUAUGUCAAAAUUAUUUUUAUGAGGCUAGAUUUAAAGUUUCAUGCCAUUUUAACACCCGGAAAGUGAAAAAUAAAAUCCGACUGCUGCUAUUUGCUAGAGAUUACAGUUUAGUAGAGCUUUCAGUGACCAAACAGGGUCGAAACUGAAAGAUUAAAAUUCUUUCGUCAAGUUAAGUAAAACCGAGCCUGACUUAAUUCAACGGCUUACACUUCAAAAUCAAAGAUCAUUUUGAAGAUAAGUACUUUCCAAAUCUGUUUGAUUUGGGAGUUCGGGUUGCUCAAUACGAGCAAUUUAGAAAAGGAAACAAUGAGGAUCGGCCCAGAUGGAGCCGAAACAAAGAGUGGAACAAAGGGAAAGAGAAAAAUAUAUCUUUCCUUGAAGAAUCGUCGGCUCAUGAAGAGCCGAAUUCGUCUGAAGAGGCUGAAGAUUCAGCUGAUGAAGCCGAAAUAUGUGCAGCCAAGAUGGUUAGAAACCGCCAACCAUACAAAUGUGCCUUGUUAAAGCCUGCUAAAUCAAGUGAGGCGAAGGCACGAGUUUCAGCAUAUACAUAUUUGUUUGAUGUAUCUAUCAAAGACCGAUCUAAUUUUUGAUUGGUUGCUAAAAGACGGACGGAUUCAACUGCAGGAGGGUCAAACUAUACCUCCUGUAGCAGAAUUGAAAAGAAGAAGACAUUGCAAAUGGCACCAUUCAUGGAGCCAUAAGACGAAUGAGUGUACUACCUUUAAAAGGCAGAUUCAAAAGGAGAUAAAUGAGGGUCGGCUCAUAUUUGCCGACGAAGAAAAUAAAAAUAUGAAAAUUGACAAGAAUCCAUUUUCUUUGCAGGUGAAUAUCGUGGACGUUAAGGGAAAGGCAGUCGCAGACAAGAAGACCGCUGAAAACAUCGCUUAUGUCAAGAGGACGCUUCGGCUUUGCAUAAGGUGCAAAGCCGAAAUGACAAAAAAGGAUUGGGAAGUCAUCAUCAACGACAAGAAAAGAAGCAACGAAUGGAGAGAGAUGAUGGACUUUCCAGAGGAGUGGGAAGAGAUUCCCGAAGGAGAGGACAAAUCAGAGGAUGGCUCAGACAAAGCCUCCAACGAGUCUGAACCGGAAGUUGACUCGGUUCAAAAUAAGAAUGAUCUAUUGAUGCAGAAAGUUCUACAUGACUACUACAACAACCAGAGAGAAAAGCAUCACAGCCGAUGAAGUUAUCCAAAGAAACCAUUCGGCUCAAAGCAGAGAUUUCCUGGGUACCGGCCGCACUAGCAGCAUCAAGCCAGGCCGAGAACAGAACCGGAGUUCGAAGGGAUGACCAAGGGAGACAUAGAAUUCCUUGGUCGAAAAUUGGUUAAUGAGCUCGGCAUACAACCAUGGCCGAGACCCUGGGAGGGAAGGGAAAUUUUAAAAAACAUUUGAGAACUGUGAAAGUACCGGCAAAUGUGCCGGUAGAUCAGUGGCAUGAAGUCAAAGUCAAACCAUCAACCAAAUAGCAGGGGCCGAUGUUAACAAAAACACAAAAACGUCGGCAACAGAGGAUGCAAGCCAAGGCGAGGCAACAUUAUGAAGAAGUGAAAGGGAUGAGGCUGAACGUGUGGAGACGACCCAACGAGCCACCACACCCUCUUCGCCCGAUGCGAAAUGAUCAUGAGGUGGGUAGUUCAUCACCCGUUCCUUGGUUAAAAUUGAAGAUAGAACGGCCGAUCACGGCCGAACCAAAAGAGAAGAUGACUAGGAGGGAGCUAGAGGACAAAAUAGCUUUCCUCGUGACAAUCAUCAAGCGAGAACGAUGGCCUCCUAAGGAGAGGGAGGUACGGAUGGAAAGUGACUCUUCAUCCGAGACGGCAAAGAAGUCCGAAGAAAAGAAACAGAAAAUUCAAGAAAAAUCGGCUGAUGAAGGACCAGCUGAUGUUAAUAUGGUUUAUACUCUGCCUUAAUCCUUUAAAGCAGAGUAUACUGAGUACGAAGAGAUAGAUGAAGAAGUUGGGCUCAAUGUGGCUCAAUUGCAGUUAGAAGACACCAAACCGGCCGAUGCAAUGGUUUUUGAAAAACCUUUGGCCAUACAGACGAGAUUUGUGAGGCCUCUGUUCAUUCGGGCCUUGAUCGAAGGUCGGCCAGUAGGCCGAGUCAUGAUAGACGGUGGAGCAAUGGUCAAUGUCAUGCCAACCUCGUUCUUUAAAAGGCUGGGCAAAGGCGAGAACGAAGUGAAGCCAACCGACACAAUCAUGACCGAUUUCACCGGAAGCGAUCAACAAGCUCGAGGGGUGCUCACGACCGAGAUUACGGUACGUUCUAAAACAUUACGAACUGCAUUUUUUGUAGUGGAUGCAGAUAGUCAUUACAACCUACUACUCGGGCGCAAUUGGAUACACGCAAACGAGUGCAUACCUUCCACACUCAACGAAAAAUUAUUCCAGUGGAUAGGAGAUAAAGUUGAAGAAAUUCGGGCCGAAGGACGGCCCCAAAUGGUGGACAUCAACGCAGAAGAGAUCGGCCACAUCAAUUGGGCCGAUGCUGAUCCAGACCAAAUCUCUUUUGUCACGCCCCGGGGUCCCUUUUUGUUUCAAAACACAGCAGAAGUGACUAGAAUUUUUUUUUUUUGAAAACCUGACCCCAGGGUAUGCCAGAUCCCCCACAAAUACAAGGAGUCCACUGUUCACACGGACAGAGUCUCCCCUGUAUUUGCACGGCGUCGCACAAGUACAAACUGUAUAACUAGGAUACAACCACUACCAAAUGAAUAUAGAAACAGCCAUACAUUCAUCCAUUCAUACACCAUUCAUCACAGGUUCACAUUCAGUGUUUAAUCAUAAGUCCACAUCUAUUAGUUAAAACGUUUCCUACCCGAAAACUGGUUUUGAAAUACUAAAAUACAAAAACCACGAGAAAAUCUUUUCAAACCCAUUUCCCACACGGAAUCUCUUUUUUCAUUAAAACCUGCUACCACGAGGGAUAGAAAACUAUUUUCCAUUUUCUAGAAAUUCACAAAUCUUUAUUAAGUUCAGAAAACCAACUGAAAUCUUGAAUAAUCAAACAUAAUGAAAUACUGAACCAUUUUAGCUGUCUAAGUUAUAUCAAUAGAAAUAAAGGAGAUAACAACUAAAUCGAACAAACCGGGUCUGAAGCUCUAUCGACCGCUACGAACGUGUCUCACGUCUCGUCUCAACCCUCACCGCCCGCAAUACCUGAAAAAUGGUGGGGGAGGUGAGAACAUGUAAACAUGUCUCCCCUCCCAGUGGGUACCGCAAGCCGACGAAGGCGAGGAGUACUCACCGGAUCAGGAAGAGAUAAACAAGGUCAAGAGCAGAUAUACUAAAUACAGUAGCAUCAAAUAUACAUGAACAGGAUGUAUAAGAACAACUACCGCUACUGUAAGGAAAAACUGAAUGCAUACAUGGAUAUCAACUAUAGUAGCACGACAAUUGUAAAGAAAGAACUGUAAGUAUGCAUGAAACAACCGCUACUAUAGUCAUAUGCGUCAACCAAACGGCAAGUCCAAAAAUACCCAAUCUGGAAACUGCCCUAUUGGUCCGCAGACCUCAGGCGUGUGCCACAUCUGCUCAACCUGCACAAGACCCUCGCAUAAAGCACCCGAGUCUGGAAGGCAGAUGACCCUAAGCAUAAAGCUCCUGGGUCUACAAGCAUAUAACCCUAGCAUAAAGCUCCUGGGCUCACGGGCUGGCACUUCCAACCACUUUUCUGGAAAAGAACACCCUCUUGCGGUGACCAAACCGCUGGUGUUCGUGAAAUACGUACGAGCAGUGGCGAUCGAUGCUGAUGUGCUCAAUAGCCAACCGUCGGCAACUAGCCGACAAUCACCGCCCCUCGGGGCACACUGACCAAUAGGUCAUCAAACUGUAUGAAACACAAGUACCGACCACUCAGGUCAACUAGGAUGGAACCACUCAACAUCCUAUCGAAGAUAUGCAAGUAUAAUUCAGAACUAACCGUUAGCCACUAACUGACAAUCCUACCCCUCAGGGUAUACCGACCGUAUAGGUCAUCAUAUAACACAACCGACCGAGUAGGUCACGAUAACGAUGCAGUAAGCCGACCGAAUAGGUCACAGGUACGAGACAAAAGGACCGACCAACAAGGUCACAAUACCUGGUGUAACGAACUGACUGACUAGGUCAAACCAAACAUCGGUAACUAGCCGACAAUCCAACCCCUCAGGGUAUACCGACCGUAUAGGUCACAGAUACGAGAUACAAGAACUGACCAAUCUAGGUCACCGAUCUCAUAUGAAAACACGAAACCGCUCUACUCUAGACAUGAUACAGGAUAUGCAGAACAGCUAAGUAGAGCAACAAGGAAAUAUGGUAUAACUACUCUACUCCUACUCAUGAUACUAGGUAUGAAAAACAACCGAGUAGAGUAUAACCAAAACAACAUGGGUGCUAGGCUCAACACUAUAUAUAUAUAUAUAUAUAUAUAUAUAUAUAUGCCAGAUAACAACGAGAGAGUAAGGGUAAGAAACCAUCACCGAGUGUUCACCACUGUACCGACUUCGGAUCGAAGUACCUACCUGUACAAAUACGAUGCCUGUCUCUCGUCUGUGGAAGAAAUAUCAACCGGACCUAAGAAGGGUCCACCGGGUUAGAGUCUAACCCACAAAUAAGAAACACUAAACCCACAACCUCACAAACAAUCCCACGGUGAUCGGUUUUCCAAAACCGACUACCGUAACUUGCCGAAAGUCCCGAAAAUCGCACCGGGACUCCGCCAGGACCCACGAACUGUCUCGAAACUCACCGACUCAAGAUACGAGUUGCCCGCUGCCACUAAACACAUAAUUUCAUGUAACAUGGCAGCAAAGACACUAACUCACACUGAAACUAUUAUCGUCGGAUAAUCGUUCCGAUCCGGGUUCACAGAAGUGUCCAAUUCGACACCGGAACACACCGUCACUCACCCGUCGUUCUCAGACCCUCAAAACGACACGAGUGGACAGCCAACAAGGCUCAGCGACCACACAAAUCAUCACGAAGCACCGUCGGAAGAAUUCUGAACUAAAAUCGCGUUCCGUCGACGGAUUUCGCCGAAAAACGCACCGAAAAUCAACAAUUGAUUUUCAGAAAGGCUUGGGGCCUUGGACGACAAGUCCAGAGGUUUCCCACAGCCCACGUGUGCUGCCCACAGUGUCCCAAACCAUCACAAUUGCAUAAAAGCCCCCCCCGAUACAUAAAAUCACAUUAUUUUAUGUGAUUUCUAGGCUUUUAUGGUCCGUAUACGCAAACCAGAGAUCAAUCAGCCAAACCGAGACCCCUGCUGGUAGGUCUCGGCGUGCCGGAGGCCGUGCUCACCUUUCGGAGCACUGUCGGCCAGUGUGGCAAUCGCACGAGCGACGCGAAGAUCAACGGAACAGCGCGCACAGCUCCUAAAUCGCAUUUAACACACUAACCAGGGCAUCUCUGCCCAUAACGGAGGUGAGCACGAUGUUCAGCACCAGUCGUAGAUCAUCGUGCUCGCUUCCUGAGGUCUAGGGGGAUUAACGGAUCAUCGAAAAGGUGACUGGAACCUCCAAACUAUGUGCAGAAAGCUUUUAAAAGCUUACCGGAGCCGGAGCGAGCUAGGGUUGGUCGCCGGCGGCAGGAUGGCGGGCGUUCCGGCCGAGGAAGGGUGCAUCCGAUCGGAGGGGUCCGGGGCAGGUGUUGGCCGGCGGCAGGCGGCAGCUGGUGGCGCGGCGGUAAGGAU
Molecule: long non-coding RNA, 18752 nt
Filed under: Ananas comosus (pineapple)
Lineage: Eukaryota; Viridiplantae; Streptophyta; Magnoliopsida; Poales; Bromeliaceae
Description: long non-coding RNA (ACOM_LNC028070)
Source: RNAcentral